RNAcentral lists this ribosomal RNA (349 nucleotides) under uncultured bacterium. RNAcentral describes it as "bacterial SSU rRNA". It matches the Rfam family "Bacterial small subunit ribosomal RNA", at positions 32 to 359 of the family's 1533-position model. The record is from RNAcentral.
AAUCAACGCUGGCGGCGUGCCUCAGACAUGCAAGUCGAACGCGAAAGGUUCCUUCGGGGACCGAGUAGAGUGGCGCACGGGUGAGUAACACGUAGGUAAUUUGCCUUUGGGUGGGGAACAACUCAGGGAAACUUGAGCUAAUACCGCAUAAUGCAGCGGCUCGACAUCGAGACAGUUGUUAAAGCGGGGGAUUCGCAAGAACCUCGCGCCUAAAGAGAAGCCUGCGGCAGAUAGCUAGUUGGUAAGGUAAUGGCUUACCAAGGCGACGAUCUGUAACCGGCCUGAGAGGGCGGUCGGUCACACUGACACUGACAUACGGGUCAGACUCCUACGGGAGGCAGCAGUCGGG